Molecule: ribosomal RNA, 550 nt
Filed under: Colletotrichum aotearoa
Lineage: Eukaryota; Fungi; Ascomycota; Sordariomycetes; Glomerellales; Glomerellaceae
Description: eukaryotic LSU rRNA
Rfam family: 5.8S ribosomal RNA (bases 176-329)
Source: RNAcentral
UGGGCCACUGAGUACGCUCUACACCCUUUGUGACAUACCUAUAACUGUUGCUUCGGCGGGUAGGGUCUCCGUGACCCUCCCGGCCUCCCGCCCCCGGGCGGGUCGGCGCCCGCCGGAGGAUAACCAAACUCUGAUUUAACGACGUUUCUUCUGAGUGGUACAAGCAAAUAAUCAAAACUUUUAACAACGGAUCUCUUGGUUCUGGCAUCGAUGAAGAACGCAGCGAAAUGCGAUAAGUAAUGUGAAUUGCAGAAUUCAGUGAAUCAUCGAAUCUUUGAACGCACAUUGCGCCCGCCAGCAUUCUGGCGGGCAUGCCUGUUCGAGCGUCAUUUCAACCCUCAAGCUCUGCUUGGUGUUGGGGCCCUACAGCCGAUGUAGGCCCUCAAAGGUAGUGGCGGACCCUCCCGGAGCCUCCUUUGCGUAGUAACUUUACGUCUCGCACUGGGAUCCGGAGGGACUCUUGCCGUAAAACCCCCCAAUUUUCCAAAGGUUGACCUCGGAUCAGGUAGGAAUACCCGCUGAACUUAAGCAUAUCAUAGGCCGGGAGGAA